CCUACGGGAGACAGCAGUGAGGGAUAUUGGUCAAUGGGGGAAACCCUGAACCAGCAACGCCGCGUGAGGGAAGACGGUUUUCGGAUUGUAAACCUCUGUCCGCUGGGAAGAUAAUGACGGUAGCUGAUGAGGAAGCCCCGGCUAACUACGUGCCAGCAGCCGCGGUAAUACGUAGGGAGCAAGCGUUGUCCGGAUUUACUGGGUGUAAAGGGUGCGUAGGCGGCCCUGCAAGUCAGAAGUGAAAUGCAUGGGCUUAACCCGUGAACUGCUUUUGAAACUGUAGGGCUUGAGUGCAGGAGAGGCAAGCGGAAUUCCCGGUGUAGCGGUGAAAUGCGUAGAGAUCAGGAGGAACACCAGUGGCGAAGGCGGCCUACUGGACUGUAACUGACGCUGAGGCUCGAAAGCGUGGGUAGCAAACAGGAUUAGAUACCCGUGUAGUC
RNAcentral lists this ribosomal RNA (440 nucleotides) under uncultured bacterium. RNAcentral describes it as "partial 16S ribosomal RNA". It matches the Rfam family "Bacterial small subunit ribosomal RNA", at positions 338 to 795 of the family's 1533-position model. The record is from RNAcentral.